GCCUGACACUCCCCAGCAUGAUGCUCUA
This 28-nucleotide non-coding RNA is filed under the name Mus musculus (house mouse). Lineage: Eukaryota; Metazoa; Chordata; Mammalia; Rodentia; Muridae. The record is from RNAcentral.